Echeneis naucrates (live sharksucker) is the source of this 57-nucleotide small nuclear RNA. Its record names the gene U7. It matches the Rfam family "U7 small nuclear RNA". From Rfam's summary of the family: Animal histone pre-mRNAs are spliced by a different mechanism than nuclear pre-mRNAs and self-splicing introns. The record is from Ensembl. Lineage: Eukaryota; Metazoa; Chordata; Actinopteri; Carangiformes; Echeneidae.
GAGGAUUUUUGCUCUUUAGAAAUUUGUCUAGAAGGUUUCUCUUAAAGAGAAGCCCCC